Molecule: long non-coding RNA, 246 nt
Filed under: Spirodela polyrhiza (greater duckweed)
Lineage: Eukaryota; Viridiplantae; Streptophyta; Magnoliopsida; Alismatales; Araceae
Description: long non-coding RNA (SPOL_LNC000811)
Source: RNAcentral
UACUCUUGUUUGUGUAUCUUCAUCAAUAAGGCUCAGUGACACCAUGUGUGGUUCCAUGAUUAUUCUGAUGACAUAAUAUAGUUUAUUGCUACAGGGCAAUCUAGAUAUGUCGUUCUCUCUCUAUCUCUCUCAUUCAAAUUGUAGUUUAUAUACUUUCUUCUGAGAUCAUUGGAAUCAUAGUUGGACUGGACUGGACUGCCUACCAUUUUAUGAUAUUUUUUUCAAUUUUACCAAAAUAUUCAUUGG